UAAACUUCAAAUAACCCCUUAUGGUUUCACAUUUUUUUCACUUUAGUACUUUAUGGAUUAAAGUGUACCAAGUUAGCUCCUAUGGUUUCGCACUUUCUCACUUUAGCAUUCUGUGAUUUAAAGUGUAUCAAGUUUAGAGAUGUCAACGGGUCGGAUUCGGGGCGGAUUUUUAAAAACCCGAACCCGAACCCGACUCCAAACCCGAGACCCGAACCCGAAUCCGAACCCGACGGAUUUUAAAAAUCCAUAUCCAAACCCGAACCCGACCAAAAAUCCGAAACCCGAACCCGAACCCGAACCCGAAAAUUUGAACCCGAAACAAUUAUUUCAUUUUUCAAUAUUUCAAAAUAUAUUAUAUUAAAUUUAAAAUUUUAAAAUACAAAUUCAAAUAUAACAUCAAAUUUUUAUAUAUAUAUUAUAUAUAAUACAAAAUAAAUUCGGAUUCGGGUCGGGUUCGGGUUCGGGUACUGUGGUUUCAUUUUUUUUUUUUAUCCAUUUUACUAAUUUUUUUUGUUAAAUUAGUGGCAAAGUUAAAAUUAAAUGGUACUAAAGUGAAUAUUUGAUAAAUCUAGGUAGGAUAUCUAAAAUUUUUUGUAUAUAAUUUAACAAAAUAUUAACGGAGGAAAAAAAAAAUCAGUGACAAAGUUAAAACUAAAAGGUACUAAAAUAAAUAUUCGAUAAACUUAGGUGGGAUACUAAAGUUUUUUGUAUAUAAUUUAAUGAAAUAUUAACAGAGGAGCCGAUGAAGAGAGAAAAAUGAAGCCACAUGAUACUAAAUUGAUAUGCUUUGAACCACAAGGUACUAAAGUGAGAAAGUACGAAACCACAUGAUACUAAAUUGAUACAUUUUAAAGCACAGGGUACUAAAGUAAAAAAAGACAAAAUUACAGAGAUGGUAUUUGAAGUUUUUUCUUAUUUUAUUAAGCACAUUCCAUAAAUUACCCAUCUAAAUUCUAUUGCAUAAGUUUCAAAAUUAAAUCUUUACAUAUUAAAUAUAUUUUAAAAUAUUGUUUAAAGGCUUAAUUAAAUUAUACUAUAUUAUACUUUAUAAAUUCUUUCCACUUCCAAAGCUUUACUUUUUGAAGCAUCAUUCCAAUUUUUUCUUUUUUCUUUUCAAUUCCUACACUAUAACUAAU
Molecule: long non-coding RNA, 1136 nt
Filed under: Ananas comosus (pineapple)
Lineage: Eukaryota; Viridiplantae; Streptophyta; Magnoliopsida; Poales; Bromeliaceae
Description: long non-coding RNA (ACOM_LNC023012)
Source: RNAcentral